This 903-nucleotide long non-coding RNA is filed under the name Ananas comosus (pineapple). RNAcentral's name for it is "long non-coding RNA (ACOM_LNC013815)". Lineage: Eukaryota; Viridiplantae; Streptophyta; Magnoliopsida; Poales; Bromeliaceae. The record is from RNAcentral.
UGAGCUAAAUCUAAAAUCAAAUUUUAUAAAAAAUAAUUAAAAAAUGUUGAUCUAUUUGAAAUAAGAGCUUGUUUGGUUCAUCCAUUUUGGGUAUGGAAUGGGAAUCGGUUUGAUCAAAUCCAUUUAAUUUUAUUUGGUUCGCAUGAAUCGGUUUGGGAUUCCUAUUCCGGACUGGAAUGGGAAUGACCCAUUAGCCUUCAACUUGAUUUCGGCCUUCUAGCCCGGAUUGAGAUUUCAUUUCGGAAUCCCACUAAGUUCUCGAAGCCCAUGUGACCAUCUUACCCUCAUUCUCUUCACCCAUUUUUUAUCAAAAAAAAAAAAAAAAUCUAUCCUCUCUCAAAACCCUAUCCUUAACUCACAUUAAUAAAAGUUUUUAAAAAUAAAUUUGAUAUUUUUUUUGAAAAACUUAUUAGAGAAUAAUAUUAUAUUUUUUUAUAAAUUUUUAAAAAUAUAAAUUUAUAUUUGAGAGUAAAAUUAGUAUUAUAGUAUCCUAUAAUUUUUUUAGUUUAUAUGAACCAAACAAUGAAAUAUGAAUAACUCAUUCCAAUUUCCAAUCCACAAAUAAACCAAACGUUUUGGGGAAGUGAGCCAUUCCAAUUACGAUUCCAAUUCAUUCCCAUUCCAUUAUCCAUUCCAAUUCCACCCUUGAACCAAACAAGCCAUAAUAGUAAAUAAUGCAACUUCAUCUUCUUCUUCUUUCCUUUUUGAUUUUUGACAUUUUUUAUAGCAGCGAUGAUAAAUAAUGAACUUCUCAGAAAAAAAUUAUUUAUUUUAAAUUUUUUUUUUCUACUUUAUUCAUCAUUUUCCAUUAUCGCGUGCUCUUUCUCGUCCUUUACCAUAGCCACCGUCGUCACCGGACGCACUCUGCUGCCUGGUCGUCCUUAAAUCCUUCGGUAUUCUCAU